AGCAGUAGCCGCGGGAAUACGUAGGGUGCAAGCGUUAAUCGGAAUUACUGGGCGUAAAGCGUGCGCAGGCGGUUAUAUAAGACAGAUGUGAAAUCCCCGGGCUCAACCUGGGAACUGCAUUUGUGACUGUAUAGCUAGAGUACGGCAGAGGGGGAUGGAAUUCCGCGUGUAGCAGUGAAAUGCGUAGAUAUGCGGAGGAACACCGAUGGCGAAGGCAAUCCCCUGGGCCUGUACUGACGCUCAUGCACGAAAGCGUGGGGAGCAAACAGGAUUAGAUACCCGCGUAGUCCCUGUCUCUUAUAC
RNAcentral lists this ribosomal RNA (303 nucleotides) under uncultured bacterium. Its description in RNAcentral is "partial 16S ribosomal RNA". It matches the Rfam family "Bacterial small subunit ribosomal RNA", at positions 507 to 807 of the family's 1533-position model. The record is from RNAcentral.